RNAcentral lists this transfer RNA (81 nucleotides) under Felis catus (domestic cat). It matches the Rfam family "tRNA". Rfam says of the family: Transfer RNA (tRNA) molecules are approximately 80 nucleotides in length. Their secondary structure includes four short double-helical elements and three loops (D, anti-codon, and T loops). Further hydrogen bonds mediate the characteristic L-shaped molecular structure. tRNAs have two regions of fundamental functional importance: the anti-codon, which is responsible for specific mRNA codon recognition, and the 3' end, to which the tRNAs corresponding amino acid is attached (by aminoacyl-tRNA synthetases). tRNAs cope with the degeneracy of the genetic code in two manners: having more than one tRNA (with a specific anti-codon) for a particular amino acid; and 'wobble' base-pairing, i.e. permitting non-standard base-pairing at the 3rd anti-codon position. Lineage: Eukaryota; Metazoa; Chordata; Mammalia; Carnivora; Felidae. The record is from Rfam by way of RNAcentral.
GCCUGGGUGGCUCAGUCGGUUAAGCGUCUGACUUUAGCUCAGGUCGUGAUCUAGCUGUGAGUUCAAGCCCCAUGUCGGGCU